RNAcentral lists this ribosomal RNA (554 nucleotides) under uncultured bacterium. RNAcentral describes it as "partial 16S ribosomal RNA". It matches the Rfam family "Bacterial small subunit ribosomal RNA", at positions 355 to 900 of the family's 1533-position model. The record is from RNAcentral.
UAGGGAAUCUUCCACAAUGGACGAAAGUCUGAUGGAGCAACGCCGCGUGAGUGAAGAAGGUUUUCGGAUCGUAAAGCUCUGUUGUUGGUGAAGAAGGAUAGAGGCAGUAACUGGUCUUUAUUUGACGGUAAUCAACCAGAAAGUCACGGCUAACUACGUGCCAGCAGCCGCGGUAAUACGUAGGUGGCAAGCGUUGUCCGGAUUUAUUGGGCGUAAAGCGAGCGCAGGCGGAAUGAUAAGUCUGAUGUGAAAGCCCACGGCUCAACCGUGGAACUGCAUCGGAAACUGUCAUUCUUGAGUGCAGAAGAGGAGAGUGGAACUCCAUGUGUAGCGGUGGAAUGCGUAGAUAUAUGGAAGAACACCAGUGGCGAAGGCGGCUCUCUGGUCUGCAACUGACGCUGAGGCUCGAAAGCAUGGGUAGCGAACAGGAUUAGAUACCCUGGUAGUCCAUGCCGUAAACGAUGAGCGCUAGGUGUUGGGGACUUUCCGGUCCUCAGUGCCGCAGCAAACGCAUUAAGCGCUCCGCCUGGGGAGUGCGACCGCAAGGUUGAAAC